AUGCACGCUGGCGGCGUGCCUAAUCCAUGCAGGUCGAGCGAACAGACGAGGAGCUUGCUCCUCUGACGUUAGCGGCGGACGGGUGAGUAACACGUGGAUAACCUACCUAUAAGACUGGGAUAACUUCGGGAAACCGGAGCUAAUACCGGAUAAUAUAUUGAACCGCAUGGUUCAAUAGUGAAAGACGGUUUUGCUGUCACUUAUAGAUGGAUCCGCGCCGCAUUAGCUAGUUGGUAAGGUAACGGCUUACCAAGGCGACGAUGCGUAGCCGACCUGAGAGGGUGAUCGGCCACACUGGAACUGAGACACGGUCCAGACUCCUACGGGAGGCAGCAGUAGGGAAUCUUCCGCAAUGGGCGAAAGCUUGACGGAGCAACGCCGCGUGAGUGAUGAAGGUCUUCGGAUCGUAAAACUCUGUUAUUAGGGAAGAACAAAUGUGUAAGUAACUAUGCACGUCUUGACGGUACCUAAUCAGAAAGCCACGGCUAACUACGUG
Molecule: ribosomal RNA, 496 nt
Filed under: uncultured bacterium
Lineage: Bacteria
Description: partial 16S ribosomal RNA
Rfam family: Bacterial small subunit ribosomal RNA
Source: RNAcentral